This is a non-coding RNA of Gossypium hirsutum (cotton), 138 nucleotides long. Lineage: Eukaryota; Viridiplantae; Streptophyta; Magnoliopsida; Malvales; Malvaceae. The record is from Rfam.
UAUUAAUUCAUCUAUUUCUACUAUUAAAAACUAGCGUGGCUGACAGACUAAUCAAACAUUACACGUGGUGUAACUUGUACCUUAUUCUGGCAUACAAGGAUCAAUUUUUAAUAGUAAAUUUGAAUAAGAUUUUUAACA